This 69-nucleotide transfer RNA is filed under the name Niviventer confucianus (Chinese white-bellied rat). RNAcentral's name for it is "tRNA-Glu". Lineage: Eukaryota; Metazoa; Chordata; Mammalia; Rodentia; Muridae. The record is from RNAcentral.
UCUAUAGUUGAAUUACAACGAUGAUUUUUCAUGUCAUUGGUCACAGUUAAGUGCUGUGUAGAAAUAAUG